CCUACGGGUGGCAGCAGUGAGGAAUAUUGGUCAAUGGACGAGAGUCUGAACCAGCCAAGUCGCGUGAAGGAUGACUGCCCUAUGGGUUGUAAACUUCUUUUAUAUGGGAAUAAAAUGUUCCACGUGUGGGAUUUUGUAUGUACCAUAUGAAUAAGGAUCGGCUAACUCCGUGCCAGCAGCCGCGGUAAUACGGAGGAUCCGAGCGUUAUCCGGAUUUAUUGUGUUUAAAGGGAGCGUAGGUGGAUUGUUAAGUCAGUUGUGAAAGCUUGCGGCUCAACCGUAAAAUUGCAGUUGAGACUGGCAGUCUAGAGUACAGUAGAGGUGGGCGGAAUUCGUGGUGUAGCAGUGAAAUGCUUAGAUAUCACGAAGAACUCCGAUUGCGAAGGCAGCUCACUGGACUGCAACUGACACUGAGGCACGAAAGUGUGGGUAUCAAACAGGAUUAGAUACCCGUGUAGUC
Molecule: ribosomal RNA, 460 nt
Filed under: uncultured bacterium
Lineage: Bacteria
Description: partial 16S ribosomal RNA
Rfam family: Bacterial small subunit ribosomal RNA
Source: RNAcentral